GAAUUCUCAGAAAUCUUUGAAAGUGAAGCCGGAGCUGAUAUUUGCACAAGAUUUAGAGAACUAGAAAAACUUCUCAUCCAUGCUUCAAGCAAAGUCUUUUGGGAGUUUGGCCUCCUAAUUGAAGGCAACUCAGAUGGUUUCCCACCACAACAAGAUAGUUCAGUCCCGAAACUUGUAAGAUACGCCAUUAAUUACCUCAAGUACCUAGCCGCUGAAAAUUACAGUGCACCCCUGGCCAAAGUUCUUCGCACAGAACAUAUAUGGAAAGCUGGCAUCUUCUCCAAACCCGAAACCGACGAAAAUUUACUCAACGAUGCCAUUUCCAAUAUCAUGGAAGCACUUAAAAGAAACGUCGAAUCUAAAAGAUCACGUUACAAGGACAAAGUUGUACCCAACGUCUUCGCCAUGAACACAUACUGGUAUAUUUACAUGAGAACAAGAAACACCGAGCUUGGUAAGCUACUUGGAGAGCAAUACAUGAAACAGAACUACAAGGCUGUAGCUGAGGAAUCAGCUUAUAUUUAUCAAAGGCAAGCUUGGGGACGUCUUGUAAGAUUGCUGGAAAUAAAAGAAGAUAUAAAAAGAUCACAGAACAGUAUUAACGAGGCCAUUGUAGCUUCUGCGAGAGGGAAAAUGGAAUCUUUCUUGAAGGGUUUUGAUGAAAUUGUGCAGAGGCAUGGAGGGUCUUAUUACGCCAUUCCUGAUGAUGAUUUGAGAGGGCAGAUUGGAGAAGCGACUGUGAAGCUAUUGGUUCCUGCUUACACCAAGUUCUUGGAAGUUUAUGGACCAGGGUUGGAAUUGGGAGGUGAAUCAUGUGUUAGUCCAGAAUCCAUAAAAGGGGUAUUGGCUCAAAUUUUCAACGGUGGUCAUCGUGUUGAUGAGGGGAAGUUGAAGAGACGUGAUAUUAAAGAUCUGACAAGUGGAACAACAUCGAUGUCAGGUGACGGUGAGAUCAAGGAUUUUCGAAGGUCUCGAUCAAAUAUCGAUAUGUAGAAUUUCUUUCCUUCUUUACUUUUUUUUUCCCUGUUAUGUAUUACUAUAUAAA
RNAcentral lists this unclassified non-coding RNA (1045 nucleotides) under Hevea brasiliensis (rubber tree). Lineage: Eukaryota; Viridiplantae; Streptophyta; Magnoliopsida; Malpighiales; Euphorbiaceae. The record is from RNAcentral.